Molecule: ribosomal RNA, 527 nt
Filed under: uncultured bacterium
Lineage: Bacteria
Description: bacterial SSU rRNA
Rfam family: Bacterial small subunit ribosomal RNA
Source: RNAcentral
GACAUACUAAGAACUUUCCAGAGAUGGAUUGGUGCCUUCGGGAACUUAGAUACAGGUGCUGCAUGGCUGUCGUCAGCUCGUGUCGUGAGAUGUUGGGUUAAGUCCCGNAACGAGCGCAACCCUUUUCCUUAUUUGCCAGCGGGUCAUGCCGGGAACUUUAAGGAUACUGCCAGUGACAAACUGGAGGAAGGCGGGGACGACGUCAAGUCAUCAUGGCCCUUACGGCCAGGGCUACACACGUGCUACAAUGGUCAGUACAAAGGGUUGCUACCUCGCGAGAGGAUGCUAAUCUCAAAAAGCCGAUCGUAGUCCGGAUCGCAGUCUGCAACUCGACUGCGUGAAGUCGGAAUCGCUAGUAAUCGCGGAUCAGAAUGCCGCGGUGAAUACGUUCCCGGGCCUUGUACACACCGCCCGUCACACCAUGGGAGUUUGUUGCACCAGAAGUAGGUAGUCUAACCGCAAGGAGGACGCUUACCACGGUGUGGCCGAUGACUGGGGUGAAGUCGUAACAAGGUAGGCGUACUACA